AGAGAGAGAGAGAGAGAGAGAGAGAGAGAGAGAGAGAGAGAGAGAGAGAGAGAGAGAACCAAAGCAUUACUUUCCCCCUCCCUUGGACACCCCCACCCCCAUUUUUGUGGGGUGCCUGUGGCGCGCAAGGAAAAGGCGGGGGAGGGAAAGGAGGAGGGAACCGAGAGCGGGAGGGCCAGAGGUGGGGUAGAGAAUAACCCAAGGGAGGGAUGGAAAGGAGGACGGAAGGUGAAUACUGCUUUGCAACCAACUUGGGGAGUUACAAAGUGGAACCGCGGUCCAAUUCGGUCGGGGUUCCGGGGUCAGGGGCUGGUCUUUGGGGAAAAGAAGGCUGAGGAGCAGGGAGCGGGGUUUCACCUGAGCCUGCCGGGGCUGCUCCUCCCUCCCGCUGCGGCCUCCCAGCCCCGCGCCUUCCCACCGCCUCCGGACCACAUCGGGCUUCGCGGCGCUGAGCCCCAGUCACCACCAAAAGAGUGUGCGAGUCUGGGGAUGAACCCUGGGGCUGCACUGUUGGUCUAUGUGUCUGUCAGUCUGUCUGCUUCUUCUGCCGCCGUCAGAGGGACACCUCUGCUCCCCGCCCCCUUUCCCCUUACCCCAGAGAAUCCCAGCGGGCGGAGGGGGAGCUGAGUAAGGGAACGACUGCCUCCGGGAGGCUGUCACGGAUCCCCGCGCCACCCCCCACCAAGCUCCUGGCUCCCUAGCGGACCAGCCCCCCAGCCCACCCCACCCCACCGCUCCCUUUCUCCACCCCUUUUGCCGGCCCAGGCAAGAACACCGCUGGCCUUCUGAGCUAGGAGGAUAAGGGUGCAGGGAUUAACGUUAGAGUCCACCACGGAAGUUGCCCCAUCUCGAACAAACCUGGUGCCCCCGACCCUUGCCCAUGGCCUGGAUACUUCGGCUUCAGAAGCUGGUGCUGUCUUUCCGAGGACAUCCCAGUCCCAGCACCCCAGUUGAGAUCCCCGCCGUUUCCCCCUUCGAUGCUUCAAGGAAAGCCCGGGCGGGGAGCCGCGUGAGAGCCCUCAGGGGUUGAAGCCGGACAGCUGCAGACUGAGGCGAUCCGCGGCGCCCUCUACUGGUCACCAGUAGGAAUGUAUCUCUACAGCCUCUUGGGGAAGCUUUGCAAGUAAUUAGGUCAUAGAAAGGAGGACUGGAAUUUUCUCUUCGAGUCUGAGGGCAAGUGGACAUGCAUUUGGUGAUGAAGGGGCUUUUUACUUUCCGCACUUCCAAAGCCUGAAGCAAUGAGAGGCCUGCACUGCUUGUGGAGGACAGAAGAGGGCAUCAGGUCCCCUGGAACUGGAGUUAAAGAAGGUAGUGGGCCACUAUUGUGAAUGCGGGAAACAGUAUCAGGUCCUGUAGAAGGGCAGCAAGUGCUCUAAGUGGGUGAGUCAUUGCUACAGCUCUAAGAGACAUACAUUUUUAUAAGACCAUGGUUUUAUUCUGUUAGGGCUCCAUGCUCAUGAUUUGAUUUCAUCUUUGAAAGUAUCCCUUCUAACAUCCAGAUAUCAUCAAUAUUAUAGGAUUAAAGGAUGAUGCCUUUAAGAGCAUAUGUGGUUAAAAUGGCUUCGUCCUGCUUAAUGAGUUUUUAGCCCCUCACAACACAGAUGUCAUGAGUCAUCUGGCAGCUUGUCCCCAUGUUCCUCUGUGGUGUUGGCACAAGGCGUUCCUCUCCUCCAGAGGGUGUAACAGGAAGGUCUCCAUCAGAUUCCGUCAGCUAGAUCAUAGUUUUUAUAUCUCCCCCUGAACUCUGAGGAAUACAUUUCUGUUGUUUUUACAAUAGCUGUCGUCGUCAUGUACUUAGACAUAGUAACCCAUGGAUUAAUAAUGCUCACUCUGAAGGCCUUAUUUCUAAAUACAAUAGCAGUAACUUGGGACUCCAACACACAUGUACUCGUAGUACACAGCUCAGCUCAGAGCAGCUCCCUAGGUAGAGAGCUGUCCCCUCCCUCGCUCUUCAUCAUGGCUGUCUCUUAAAUCCAGUCCCAUAAGUGCUUCUCUUUCUCCACCAUAACCACUGCCAACCAUCCCUAGUCGCCACACCUUUAGCUCUUGUUUUAGCUGUAAGGCUUGCUCCAGCUUAAUGCACACCCCUUUCCACAGUUCACAGUGCAAUCUGUGCCCAUAAGCAAAUCCCCCACCUCCCUCUCACCUAUUCUUAACCUGUCCAUGGAUGAUCUAAAAUGCCCACAUUUAGUUCAGCUUUUACAGACUAUAAUGGAUGCAUAUUUAGCUGCUUAUAGGUUUAGCUGUAAAAAUUAGUAAGUGUUGACCUUUGUGUAUAUCUAUGAAAAUGUGUCCACAGGUAAGAAAAUGAACAUGAUAACUCAUAUCCCUGUACGAUAUCUAUCUCCCCUUCUUCUAUGUUCUUAUCACGGUCACUAGGUGAUUACCACAGUGUAAUUAAUACACACGCUGCAUAUUACAGAGUGUAACUUUUUAGGAUUUUCCAUAAAUGAAAUCAAACUAUUUUGUCUUUUACUCACUUGUUAUAAUUAUCAUCAACAUUUUUGCACAUCCAUUUUGAUGCUUAAAGAAGCUUUUCUUCUGAUUCUUGUAUACUAUUCCAUUUCUUAAUUCAAAAUUUUACUUUAUGUGUAUGGGUGUUUUACCCGUAUGCUUGUCUAGGUACCUCAAGGGUGUCUAUUGUUCACAGAGACCGAAAGACGGUGUCAUAUGCCUUCAAACUGGUGUUACAAACAGGAGUGAGCUGCCAUGUGAAUGCUGGGAAUUGAACCUGGACCCCUUGGAAGAGCAGUCAGUGCUCUUCACUGUUGAGCCAUCUCUCUGGUGCCAGCAUUUCAUUUUUAUAGUUAUACCAAAAUGUGCUUGUUCAUUUCUGAGUGGAAAGUAAGACAAUUCGUUCGAAGUGAUGCUGGUUUUCUGAGGCCGCUGUAACAAGUUAGAGCAAUGCUGAAGUGUUAAAAGAACACAGUUCUUCUUCUCCCGGGUCUGGGAGCCAGAGUCCGAAAUGAACAUGUCAGCAGGAUGACAUCCUCUCCACAGGCCCUGGGGCAUGUACCUUGUGGCCCCUUCUCGCUUUUGACAUUCCUUGGCUUGUGACUUCGUUUCUCCAAUCUCUCUCCAGUUUUACAUAACCUCACCUAUGUCUUUCUGUAUUCCUCUCUUGACAGCUGCUGGUGGUGGUAUUGAGUGCCCACUGGAAAAUGUAGGAAGACAGCCUCAAUGAAAGAGUCGUUCUUUUAUCUGCAACAUUCCCGUUUGUAACUACUCCUAAGAUAAAAUGCAUAGGUUCUGUUGACUGGUUUUUAUUUAUUUUACAUAUGUGAGUACACCACUGUAGCUGUCUUAGACUCACCAGAAGAGGACAUCGGAUCCCAUUACAGAUGGUUGUGAGCCACCACGUGGUUGCUGGGAAUUGAACUCAGAGCUCUGGAAGAGCAGUCGGUUCUUCUAACCUCUGAGUCAUCUCUUCAUCUCGCUCUAUCACUUUUAAUAAAUAAAUUAAGAAGAACUUUAAGCUUGAGAAA
Rattus norvegicus (Norway rat) is the source of this 3485-nucleotide non-coding RNA. The record is from RefSeq and is a predicted model, not a curated record. NCBI's taxonomy places the organism in Eukaryota, Metazoa, Chordata, Mammalia, Rodentia, Muridae.